This 128-nucleotide ribosomal RNA is filed under the name uncultured eukaryote. RNAcentral describes it as "partial small subunit ribosomal RNA". It matches the Rfam family "Eukaryotic small subunit ribosomal RNA", at positions 1651 to 1776 of the family's 1831-position model. The record is from RNAcentral.
CCCUGCCCUUUGUACACACCGCCCGUCGCUACUACCGAUUGAAUGGCUCAGUGAGGCCUUCGGACUGGCUUGGGGAGGUUGGCAACGACCACCCUAAGCCGGAAAGUUCGUCAAACUCGGUCAUUGAG